GGGGCCGUAGCUCAGCUGGGAGAGCGCUGCAAUCGCACUGCAGAGGUCAGGGGUUCGAUUCCCCUCGGCUCCACCA
Molecule: transfer RNA, 76 nt
Filed under: Sphingomonas sp.
Lineage: Bacteria; Pseudomonadati; Pseudomonadota; Alphaproteobacteria; Sphingomonadales; Sphingomonadaceae
Also listed under: 8 other names
Description: tRNA-Ala
Rfam family: tRNA
About the family: Transfer RNA (tRNA) molecules are approximately 80 nucleotides in length. Their secondary structure includes four short double-helical elements and three loops (D, anti-codon, and T loops).
Source: RNAcentral